CAUCAAGAAGCUAAAUCAUAGCAUUAACCUUUUAAGUUAAAGAGUGGGAAAUUAAAACUCCCCUUGAUGA
RNAcentral lists this transfer RNA (70 nucleotides) under Nectogale elegans (Elegant water shrew). RNAcentral's name for it is "tRNA-Lys". It matches the Rfam family "tRNA". Rfam says of the family: Transfer RNA (tRNA) molecules are approximately 80 nucleotides in length. Their secondary structure includes four short double-helical elements and three loops (D, anti-codon, and T loops). The record is from RNAcentral. Lineage: Eukaryota; Metazoa; Chordata; Mammalia; Eulipotyphla; Soricidae.